This 418-nucleotide ribosomal RNA is filed under the name uncultured Staphylococcus sp. Its description in RNAcentral is "partial 16S ribosomal RNA". The record is from RNAcentral. Lineage: Bacteria; Bacillati; Bacillota; Bacilli; Caryophanales; Staphylococcaceae.
CACGUAGUUAGCCGUGGCUUUCUGAUUAGGUACCGUCAAGACGUGCACAGUUACUUACACAUUUGUUCUUCCCUAAUAACAGAGUUUUACGAUCCGAAGACCUUCAUCACUCACGCGGCGUUGCUCCGUCAGGAAACUUUCGCCCAUUGCGGAAGAUUCCCUACUGCUGCCUCCCGUAGGAGUCUGGACCGUGUCUCAGUUCCAGUGUGGCCGAUCACCCUCUCAGGUCGGCUACGUAUCGUUGCCUUGGUAAGCCGUUACCUUACCGAACUAGCUAAUACGGCGCGGGUCCAUCUAUAAGUGAUAGCAAAACCAUCUUUCACUUUAGAACCAUGCGGUUCUAAAUGUUUAUCCGGCUAUUUACGGCCCCCGGGUUUCCCGGAGUUUACUUCCGAGUUCUUAUAGGUUAGGUUACCCA